RNAcentral lists this ribosomal RNA (499 nucleotides) under uncultured bacterium. RNAcentral's name for it is "partial 16S ribosomal RNA". It matches the Rfam family "Bacterial small subunit ribosomal RNA", at positions 30 to 523 of the family's 1533-position model. The record is from RNAcentral.
AUCGAACGCUGGCGGCAUGCCUUACACAUGCAAGUCGAACGGCAGCACGGGAGCAAUCCUGGUGGCGAGUGGCGAACGGGUGGGUAAAGUAUCGGAACGUGCCCAGUCGUGGGGGAUAACGUAGCGAAAGUUACGCUAAUACCGCAUACGAUCUAUGAAUGAAAGCGGGGGAUCGCAAGACCUCGCGCGAUUGGAGCGGCCGAUAUCAGAUUAGGUAGUUGGUGGGGUAAAGGCUCACCAAGCCGACGAUCUGUAGCUGGUCUGAGAGGACGACCAGCCACACUGGGACUGAGACACGGCCCAGACUCCUACGGGAGGCAGCAGUGGGAAUUUUGGACAAUGGGCGAAAGCCUGAUCCAGCCAUGCCGCGUGCAGGAUGAAGGCCUUCGGGUUGUAAACUGCUUUUGUACGGAACGAAAAGGUUUGGCCUAAUAAGCUGAGCUCAUGACGGUACCGUAAGAAUAAGCACCGGCUAACUACGUGCCAGCCGCCGCUGUAA